This is a non-coding RNA of Oncorhynchus mykiss (rainbow trout), 1053 nucleotides long. The record is from RefSeq and is a predicted model, not a curated record. Lineage: Eukaryota; Metazoa; Chordata; Actinopteri; Salmoniformes; Salmonidae.
AAUGUUGAAGUGUGUGCAGAUAGAAAUGUAUUGUGUAAAACAGAUAGGUUUGCAUGUCAUGCUAAAAUAGGAAAACAAGUCAACUCUAUUCAUUAUAUUAAAUGAUAAGGUCCUUUAGUCUCUAAUUGAAACCGAGGAGAGUCAAGGUGCCAAUACAAGGAGAAAGCAGCACUCUCCCAGUUAAAACCAGAAGGCUCUAGCAAGCUGUCUGUUGCCACACCAUAGCUACUGGGGAGUUCUACAACUGAGCUGAUGGCUCUUGGACACUAAGCCCUGAUCCUGUGUGAGCAGGCUAGAGCCAAUAGCCCCAAUAUUCCUGGAGCCUAUGUACCCCAGUGUAACAAGGAGGGCCUGUACACCCCAAAGCAGUGCAACGGCUCUACAGGAUACUGCUGGUGUGUUAACACCGAGGGAUAGAUGUCGUCUCUCCACUACUCCAGGCUCUCCCAUUCCAUGUGUAGUGAGACUGUCCCAAGCAGCCAGAAGCUCUCAGAAGACUUCAAGACCCAGUGUUAAUGAGGUAGCAGGACCUGUUAACCAAUACCCCUGUGGGUUGCCCUUAUGGGUUCCAAAGGCCUCUCAGAAUGUUGGACCUCCUAUGGGUGGCAGCCCAGACACAUCCACCCAUCUCCAGAAUCCACUGGUGGCCAGCAAGGUAAAGGAAACAUCUCCCUCUGCUGCUGAGCAGCAAGAACCGGCCCCAUGGAUCAAGCAGUGUGUUGGGCCCCACCAGCUGCCACGAUCCUGUUCUACCUCCACCCAGCAUUAUUUUUCAGAACCAUAACGACUAUGAACGAGGCAGUGGUUUUCUCCAACACCCUCUACUCCCCAGGAGACACAGCCCAGCCCUCUGUUAGUGUUGUAUCCCAUGAUAUCAGUAAACCUGUGCCUAACCAGCCUCUCCUUAGACCAAGUGCUGGAUCCAAAGGAGUGGAGUAUCCUAUCCUCAGACAUUGGCAAUUGAUGCAUGAAUGAUGGGCUUUAAGGUUCUACAUGACGUUCAUCCCCCCUUGGUGAUGCGCGAAUGUCCAAUAAACUUUUGUCAUGGAAUUA